Long non-coding RNA from Cynocephalus volans (Philippine flying lemur), 801 nucleotides. RefSeq lists it as uncharacterized. NCBI's taxonomy places the organism in Eukaryota, Metazoa, Chordata, Mammalia, Dermoptera, Cynocephalidae. The record is from RefSeq and is a predicted model, not a curated record. The transcript has 5 exons.
CGCAGAACGUUAGGAAAUUAAAAAGGAGGAAGAAACGGGUCCGACUCCAGCCCUCGUCGGUGCAUCCCAAACGACGCGCAGGGUAUUCAUAAGAAUGGAAGCGGUGUUUCCUUGCCAGAUUCCUCAUUGCUGUAUCUCAUGAACCUACCUAGUCUUGGGGAAGAGACUUUAUUUAAUGAUGACAAACCUGUUACCCGUGUAGCACCAGCAGUGAGAGGACAAAAACAAAUAGAAAUAACACAUUUAAAUUAUAUUCAACAAGGAAGUCAUUUCAGUCAACAACUUCUGCUGCAUUAUUUUUCCAAGAUGAACUGCUACACAACCAUGAGACAGUGGGGGAUGGCACCUACGGGAGUGUGCUUAUGGGCAAGAGUAACGAGUCUGGGGAGCUUGUGGCCAUCAAAAGGAUGAAGAGAAAGUUCUAUUCUUGGGACGAAUGUUUGAACUUGAGAGAAGUUAAGUCUCUGAAGAAACUUAAUCAUGCCAAUGUGAUUAAACUGAAAGAUGUUAUCAGAGAAAAUGACCAUCUUUAUUUUAUAUUUGAAUAUAUGAAAGAAAACCUCUAUCAAUUAAUGAAAGACAGAGUGCUGACAACAUCCUAGUGACUUCUGAGCAACCGAGAUGCGAGCUGCGAAGGGUUGAAAGCUUCAUCCUUGGCCCGGACUUGGAGUUGAGGACAGUGGGCCAGGCUGGGCGGGUUGGGGAGACAUGGCCAUCAGGCCCCUGUGCUGUCAUCUCAGCAGCUAGAGAUUGACACCUUGGGAAGUGUACCCACAUGGGAAGAACCGACCCAUCAAUCAA